This 478-nucleotide ribosomal RNA is filed under the name uncultured bacterium. Its description in RNAcentral is "partial 16S ribosomal RNA". It matches the Rfam family "Bacterial small subunit ribosomal RNA", at positions 28 to 523 of the family's 1533-position model. The record is from RNAcentral.
GACGAACGCUGGCGGCGUGCUUAACACAUGCAAGUCGAACGGUAAGGCCCUUCGGGGUACACGAGUGGCGAACGGGUGAGUAACACGUGGGUGAUCUGCCCUGCACUUCGGGAUAAGCCUGGGAAACUGGGUCUAAUACCGGAUAGGACCCUGGGAUGCAUGUCCUGGGGUGGAAAGCUUUUGCGGUGGGGGAUGGGCCCGCGGCCUAUCAGCUUGUUGGUGGGGUGAUGGCCGACCAAGGCGACGACGGGUAGCCGGCCUAAGAGGGUGACCGGCCACACGGGGACUGGGAUACUGCCCAGACUCCUACGGGAGGCAGCAGUGGGGAAUAUUGCACAAUGGGCGCAAGCCUGAUGCAGCAACGCCGCGUGAGGGAUGACGGCCUUCGGGUUGUAAACCUCUUUCAGCACCGACGAAGCGCAAGUGACGGUAGGUGCAGAAGAAGGACCGGCCAACUACGUGCCAGCAGCCGCGGUAA